CUCAAUCCUCUCAUUCAGUCCAUGGAUUGUCAGUGUCGCAUCCUCCACAACCGACCGAAAGUACAGCAAUUCCCUCUUCCUAGGAAACGGACAACACCUGCCAGGCACCGGACUUGCACGUAAAUAAAACAAUAUCAAAAUUAAUUCGAGCAACUACAUAAAAAAAAUAAAAAAAAAAUUCAUAAUAAUGAAAAUGAGUUGAUAAUAUAUUGUGUGUGCAGCGCCGACGGUUGGAGGAGUGUACUUUCCGGUUGCAGCGGCGGCAGAUGUUAGUGAAAGGAAUGUUACGGUGGGCGUUAUUGAAAGCUGUCAGAAUGCAGAUCCGUUCGUACGUGAAUUGGCUCGAGGGAAGAUAAUUAUAUGCACGUACACGUUCGACUUCGAUUCUGAGGCGGCUUCGAUUUCUGCGGUUGUGGACACUAUACAUAAAAUUGGUGCUGCCGGUUUUAUACUAACGAUGGAUCCUGACUUGGGGUCUCACCAGAUUAAAGGCUCCACUAUUACUCUACCUGUGCCCGGAAUCAUUCUAAACAACAUGGAAUCCUCUUCGGUGCGUAUACACACUCCUCGUUUUUCAAAGCUUCCUAAUUCAAUAGACGCACAUAUAUAAUGUCGUUAACUUUCGUCUACUUAACGAAACAACAGGCUCUUUGGGAAUACUACAACUCGAACACGAUAAGGGGCAGGAGCGGUGCCGCCAUAGUAUUCCGAGCAAGGGCGAGGAUUCUAGACGGAAGGCAGGCUAGCUACAACGUGCAGGCGCCAGCUGUCGCCUCGUACUCCUCACGAGGCCCCGACCUGAACAACGCCCUUCUAGAAACCGCGGACGUGCUCAAGCCCACCAUCAUGGCGCCAGGCUCGUCAAUAUGGGCGGCAUGGACAAAGCCCAACAGCCGAGGAGACGACUACACCAAAUCCCAAACGUUCGCACUCCUCUCCGGGACAAGCAUGGCCACACCGCACAUAGCCGGCAUCGCCGCCCUGAUAAAGCAGAAGCACCGCCACUGGAGCCCGGCGGCAGUCGCCUCGGCGAUGAUGACAACGGCCGACCAAACCGACCACUCCGGCUCUCCGAUCCUCGCACAGGGGAAAAACGGGCUGUUAUCGCCCGCGACGCCGUUCGACUUCGGAGCGGGUUCGAUCAAUCCGUCUAAAGCCAUCGAUCCAGGCCUAGUGUUCGAAGCUUAUUUCAAGAACUACGUAGAGUUCUUGUGUGCCGUUCCAGGGUUGGACGAUAAGUCUGUCAGACGGGCGGUGGGAGUCGGGUGCCCCGACAAGAGGAAGGAGUGGUGCUCGGAUUUGAACACUGCGAGUGUGACGGUUUCGAAUUUGGUGGGGUCGAGGAAGGUUGUGAGGAGAGUGACUAAUGUCGGUGGUUUUGAUGAGAAGUAUAGGGUGGUUGUUAGAGAGCCGGUCGGGGUUCGAGUUAGUGUUGAGCCUCAGGUUUUUACGAUCAGUGUGAACGAGUCGACGCAUAUUACGGUUAUGUUGCAGGCAACUCAGAGGACGAACCGAUACACGUUUGGGGAGAUGGUUUUAGAGGGGAGUAAUAAUCAUGUCGUUCGAGUUCCUAUUACUGUCUUUGUUAGCAGCUACCUAGGUUCUUGAAAAUUUUCGAUAUAAACGGACAGUGGUUCCGAAAUAGUUUUUAAGUUCCGGACUUUCGUUGCCUGUUGACUCUGUUCGGCGUACUUUCUUACCACGCAGCAUCGAAUAACUAGGAAUGAAUGUUGCUACAUUAUAUGAAUAGAUUUGAGAUUCACUACAUAAUAUAAAUAUAAACUCUAAGCUGGUAAUCUUAAUUAGGCACUUAUAACUAUCAUUAAUUGUAAUUAGGGAGAACAACAGAGCAAAAUGACAGUGAAAUUAAUUUAACUUCAGCCUGCGGGAAGAAGGGGAUUUGCUUCUUAUACUUAGCUACAGCAAUUGCACAUAAUUUCAAGAAAUAAAGAAUAUAUAUGGGGACAACUAUUUUGAAUACUAGUUUUUUCUUAGUUGAAUACCAAAAAAAUAAAAAAUAAAUAAUUAAUUGUAAAUUACUUUAAUACCCUUAAUGAAAAUUAAAACCAAAAAAUAUUACAAAUACUAUUUUUCUUUCUUAAAAACCAAAUAAUCAAAAACCUAAAAAAAACAUUUCCCUCCUCACUCACAAACCCCUCACCUCCUCCACCUCCUUCUUCUCCCUCCCCAAAAACCCUCCUAAAAAACCCCAAAACAAAAGAAAUCAAAACCUUACACAACUUGCAAAAUGGCCUCAAAUGACAAUAGAAUGGUAGUUUACGAGCAAGGAGAACCCAUUCAGGUAUGUAUUCAUGUAUUUUUUGAGCUAAAACAUCGAUUUUGAAUUUUUUUUUUUUUAAAACUCGCCAUGUAUUUUCGACACAUACAGGUCGAAAAUACCCUUAUUUUUCGACACUUAAGUGUCGAAAAUAUGGGUAAUUUUCGACACUUUAGUGUCGAUUUUGUUCCUGUUGCAAAUUUACUUGUCUUAUAUUUUCGACACUUUUGUGUAGAUCGAUUGCACCCAUUCAUUUACCACGUCAGAAAAAUUCCCAACAAAAGAAGCUUUAAUGGCAUGGGUUCGUGAAGUAUGUAAAAGAAUUGGAAUGGUGUUAAUGAUUGGGGGUUCGAGUGACGGGGAUAGAGGACGUAGGACACCGUAUGUGAUUGUUCGUUGUGAGCGUGGGGGCCAUUAUGUUGGCAAGAAGGUACCAGGUGAAGAUGAUCAAAGACCGGGAAAAAGGAGCACCGGUUCAAAGAAAUGCAAUUGUCCGUUUAAAUUGAAGGGGACAAGAGAACACAAGGAUGAUGAAAAGGCUGAGUGGAAAUUGGAUGUUAGUUGUGGUAUUCACAACCACAACUUAUUCGAAAACUUGCACGGACACUCUUAUGCCGGAAGAUUAUCAAAGGAGGAUGUUUCCUUUGUUCACACUAUGAAGAAAGCAAUGGUGAAACCAAGGGCAAUUCUAAGAGCAUUGAAGCAAAAGGACCCGUCUAAUGUAACUGGUAUGAAGACAGUUUACAAUACUAUCUCUAAGUUAAAUUUCAGUGAAUUGGAUGGGAGAUCUCAAUUGCAAUCAUUGUUUGUCAAGUUGAAAGAAGAUGAAUACCUCUCGUACCAUAGAUCGAACGAGUUGAAUGCGAUUACCGACUUGUUUUGGAUCCACCCGAAAUGCAUUAAGUUGGCACAGUCGUAUCCGUACGUAUUCGUCAUCGAUUGCACGUACAAGACCAAUCGUUACGGACUCCCAUUUCUUGAGAUUGUGGGUUUUACUUGUACCAACAAGACGUUCUCAAUUGCCUUUGCUUACUUGGACCACGAAAAGACGGAAAAUUUUGAAUGGGCGUUGCGUUGUUUGAAGGAGGCCAUGACCAGUUGUCAUCGGCCUAAUUGCAUUGUAACAGAUCGAGAUUUGGGUUUAAUGAAAGCAGUGGCCAAUGUGUAUCCAUCGAGUCAUCACUUGCUGUGUCGGUGGCAUGUGAACAAGAAUAUAGUGGCCAAUUGUAAGAAAUUGUUCCCAAAGGACAUCACCAAAUGGAAGCAAUUUCAGUCGAGUUUUUCGGCUCUUAUUGAAAGAAAUACCAUAGAGGAGUUCAAUGAGGAUUGGGAGGAUUUGAAAAGAACAUUUAUGGGUUAUCUCCCGGCUAUAGAGUAUGUAGCCAAUUCAUGGUUGGAUCCGUACAAGGAGAGACUUGUAUCGGUGUGGACAAAUAAGUAUACUCAUUUUGGAACGUACACUUCUAAUAGGGUGGAGGGGGCACACGGACGAAUGAAAAGGGAUGUGCGUAAUUCAACUGGCACAUUUGUGGAUUUGUAUACGAAAGUCCACAAUCAAAUUGUCGAACAACACAAUGACAUCAAGGCUUCCUUUGAAGUAAGUAAAAAUACUUACGAGCACACUUUCAAAACGUUGAUAUACAAUGAGCUUCGUGGAAGUAUCUCAAAAUACGCUCUGCAACUACUCAAAGUUGAGGUGGACAAUGCGAAACUAUUGCAACCGAGCGAUAUGGGUUGUAGUUGCGCCAUCCGAACAACCCACAGUCUACCAUGUCGCCAUGAACUUCAUGAGUAUGUUGUUGUGAACAAAUGUCCUAUCCCACUUGAGUUAAUAGGCUCGUAUUGGAAACACAUGAGUAUGGAGCCCGUCGCGACCACAGGCCAAGUCAUCCUACCAACCAUCGACGAAGAAUUAUCGGAAUACCAGAAGCUCUUUGAAUGUGCCGAUCUCGAUGCAAAAACUCGAUUGCGCAACCAUUUGAGACAUUUUACCCACCCAGAGAAUACUAACCUUACGGAGCCAAGUGAAAAAGUUGUUAGCAAAGGUCGACCGGCAAAAAGUAGGAAAGACAAAUCAAGCACUCGGGACAAAUCACAUUUUGAGUAUGUGGAGCCAAAGAAAAAAAAAUCGAAGCAAGCUAGUUGUUCUCCAAAGGUAAAUGUCGCUACUAUCGUCUCAUUUCAUUGAAGUUGCAUUUUAUAAUUGUGCUGAGUAAUGAAGUGUAAUAUACUGCAGCUUAUACCUGUACCGAUGAGAUUCAACGGGAAGCAGGUAUAUAUGGUCUAGAGUUAGCUGUGUGACUGGCCGUCUGGGAACCACUUUAAAUCCUUCCCCCCNNNNNNNNNNNNNNNNNNNNNNNNNNNNNNNNNNNNNNNNNNNNNNNNNNNNNNNNNNNNNNNNNNNNNNNNNNNNNNNNNNNNNNNNNNNNNNNNNNNNGUUAUUAGGCGGUACACCAGUAAUGUCGUGGCCGCAAUACAAAACUAAAUUAAAAAACAAAUAAAACAAAUAAAAUCCAUCAAACAACAUCCAUCUAAAAAAAUACAAGACUAAUCCUGUGUUUUUUUCUUCCUACUAAACACGCGUUUCACAACCGCCUGUGGGGCAUCGGACGAGCUCGAUGGCGGUGGAAUUGGCCCUAUCGAGCUACCUGGAGGUGGUGGUGGGGCAUCCGAUGACCUCGAAGGAGGUGGAAAUGGGGCAUCCGGCUCGAUCAAUCUGACAAUAUCAUUUAGGGUCCCCCACAUGACCGUAUGAGCGUCAGAUGGCGCAAGUCCCCGCACCUCGCUAAGUGUACCAUUCACCAACUCCAAAAUUUGUGAAAGUUGGACCUCCUUAUCGGUACCACCCUCUGGACGAGCUUCAUGGGGUCGAGGUCGAUCCGCCUGGGGUCGAGGUGGAUGGGCUCCAUGCCUACUCAGUUGUAACAUGCAUCUGGGUCGGAACCAAUUCAUGUAGUCCGGCGAAGUGUCCGCCUCCCCGAGUUCAAUUUCAACGGACCUCGACUCCUCGUCCAGACAAUACUCCUCCCACCGAUCAGAGAAUCGUUCGCCGUACGCAACGAAAAUUGAGUUCUGGACCGGUCGACCUUUGCUAGCUAGAGCUUUGUACAUAUCUUUUGACAUGUAUGCACGACCUGGAAUGAUUUGCACCCGGUUGAACUGCCUCAACACUCUGUCCGGAUGAUAUGCCUCGAAGUGGUCCAUGCAACAUAUCAUCCCACUAAACCAAGCAGAAUCUGGCAUCGGGAAACGAUCACGAAUAGCCGUAUACGGUGACCAUAAAACCUAGUAAAAUAAAUAAAAAAUUAGAUGUAAAAACCUACUUAAGUAGUAAUAACAAAUUAUUAAACUGGUAUGUUACCUGAUCGGGGAUCAAAUCAUCUAAUCGAGAUCGCAGGUACGACGCUCGUUCAGGCGUUGAAGUAGUCUUUGACUGAGGCUCCCAUCGGCUCGCUAAUGGCCCCUCGAAUUCCGUCUUCAAUGUGCCACCCCCCAAAUAAGGAAAGUGCUCGUAAAUCCAUGACUGAAAGAGCGUCAGCCAGCCAGCCAUCGAGUUCGUUGAUUUUUGUGAGGCUGAGGAAAGCUCAUCGUACAACCGGCAAAGACAUGCAGUGCCCCAAGCAUACUCGCCGAUCCGAUCCAAAUCAGAUACAAGAUUUAGGUACUCAAAGCUUACCAUGUUGCCUGUCUUGUCGCACAGUAUAGUACACCCGAGCAAAAAUAACAAAUACGCCCGAAUGGCGUAUGUCCUCUUCUCCGCACUAUCUCUCAUGGUCACUUUGCUAAAUUUAGCCUUCAACCAUUCCAACUUGACCGCUUUCUUCUUGUUUACAUCGUCCGGGUACUCACCUAGCAACUCGAACAUCAAAGAACUGGGAAUGGUUUUGGAAUCACGGACCAAACGCUCGCAAGAUACGGUACGCCCAACAACUGGCAAACCGACCAACGUACUCACAUCGUCAAGUGUGAUGGUCAUCUCUCCAACAGGUAAGUGAAAUGUGUUGGUAGCUGGCUGCCAUCUCUCUACGAAGGCUCUAAGUAGAUGGUCGUCCACAGUGUUGUACGAUGCCUGUACAACUGACAUUAAACCACAUCUUUGUACUACCUCUGUAAUAAACGGCGCCGGCUCCCAACCUUUCAAGGUUCCUGUGUGAUUUCAUAUUCGAAAUUCUGAGCCGCGCUCCGAACGAUCUGGCCCUCCGUUCACAAUAUGAUAAGCAAUGUGCUUAUCAAAUUUUGUGUACAAUUCCGGUAUCUCGGGACCUAGGACCGGUUCGUUGCUCGAAUCACCAACUUGUACAGUCGAAUGUAGAGCCGGCACCGGAUUCGUUGACGAAGAACCCUCUCCAGACUUCUUCUUGGUCGUGGUCUUUUUCUUGGUCGUGACUGCUAUGCCCUUGCCUUUAUCGGAUAAUUCCUUCCUCUUCUUACGGUUCGAGACAGUCGGAGGUAUACGAGGUUCACGUGGUUCUUCCACUGCAAAAUAACACACAAAUAAAAAUUAAUAUACAUAAUAUAAACACAAGCAAAUAAAAAUAGGGAAAAAAAAAAAAAAAAAAAAAAAUUUCCCAGUUCAAAUUCGACAGAAACCUGUCGAAAAUGGGUUGCAUUUUCGAUAGAAACCUGUCGCAAAUUGGUCGACUAUUCGACAUGUCGGUGUGAGAAAUGCACCCCAUUUUCGACAGGUUUCUGUCGAAAAUUACCAAAAUCCAAACUCAACAAUUUCACCAUUUUCGACAUCUACAUGUCGAAUUUGGAUGAAUUAGCCUUCUACAUCAACCUGUCGAAAAUUCAUCCAAACUCGACAUAUACAGGUCGAAAAUGGUGAACGAAGAACCGACCCACGAAUCUCAAAUCAAUGCUCAAAUCGACUGAAAUCAGAUGCACCCAUUACUAAUUAACGAUCAUUCUAACCUAAAACAACCAAAUCCUAAUUACCCAUAUCAAACAAUCAAAUCUUAAAUAAAUAUUAAAGAAAAAAAAAUCGAAACAACUAUAACUUACUAUUCGAAGACGACGACGGCGGCGGCUUUGGGCGACGUUGGGCGGCGUUCGGCGGUGUUUGGCGUCGGCGUCCGACGGCGGCGAUGGUUGGAGCGGCGGCGGCGGCGUCGGGCGGCGUGGACGGAGGGAGGUGGACGGAGGGAGGUUUUUUGUGUUUGAAUUUUUUUUUUCUUUUUUUUUUUAUUUGGUUUUCAAAUAGGUAAUUUCAAAGAAAAAUUGAUGUAAUUAGUAUUUUGUAUGAAAGGGUAUUUUUGUACUUUUAUUUUUAUUUUGGUAUUAAAGUAAGAAAAAACUUAAAAAUAUGUACUCAAUUGUGGUUUUCAACUAGGUAGUAUUCAACUAAGCAAAAAUUAGUAUUCAAAAUAGUUGCCCCCAAUAUAUAUAUAUACAGAAAUGAUAAAACCAUGAACAGAGAGAAAGAAACGUAAGAAAUUCGACCAAGUACCUCAACGAAGAUAUCCAUCCGAAGGAGUGAAACGACACCGUAUUCGAAUACCAAUUUCAUUGAAUUGGUGACGGUCACGAAUUAGGGCUGGAUAUUUGGCAGCUUGGCGUUUGAAUUCAGCGUCUUGUAGACGAAUUGGGUUUUUCACUUCGAGGCGUGCUAUAUUUCUUGGACUGGAGAAUUCAGCCGCCGACCGGCGUCGAAAGUCUCGCCGGAGAUGAUGACGGUUAAUUUUGAAGAACUCAUCGAGAAAUGGAACAAAUUUGCAAGAUCGUAU
This 8004-nucleotide long non-coding RNA is filed under the name Erythranthe guttata (spotted monkey flower). Its description in RNAcentral is "long non-coding RNA (EGUT_LNC003538)". Lineage: Eukaryota; Viridiplantae; Streptophyta; Magnoliopsida; Lamiales; Phrymaceae. The record is from RNAcentral.